This 253-nucleotide ribosomal RNA is filed under the name uncultured bacterium. RNAcentral's name for it is "partial 16S ribosomal RNA". It matches the Rfam family "Bacterial small subunit ribosomal RNA", at positions 524 to 776 of the family's 1533-position model. The record is from RNAcentral.
UACGUAGGGGGCAAGCGUUGUCCGGAUUUAUUGGGCGUAAAGAGCGUGUAGGCGGCCAGACAGGUCCGUUGUGAAAACUCGAGGCUCAACCUCGAGACGUCGACGGAAACCGUCUGGCUAGAGUCCGGAAGAGGAGUGUGGAAUUCCAGGUGUAGCGGUGAAAUGCGUAGAUAUCUGGAGGAACACCGGUGGCGAAGGCGGCAUCCUGGACCAACACUGACGCUGAUGAGCGAAAGCCAGGGGAGCAAACGGG